Molecule: ribosomal RNA, 427 nt
Filed under: uncultured bacterium
Lineage: Bacteria
Description: partial 16S ribosomal RNA
Rfam family: Bacterial small subunit ribosomal RNA
Source: RNAcentral
UGGGGAAUAUUGCACAAUGGGCGCAAGCCUGAUGCAGCCAUGCCGCGUGUGUGAAGAAGGCCUUCGGGUUGCAAAGCACUUUCAGCGAGGAGGAAGGGUAGUGUGUUAAUAGCACAUUGCAUUGACGUUACUCGCAGAAGAAGCACCGGCUAACUCCGUGCCAGCAGCCGCGGUAAUACGGAGGGUGCAAGCGUUAAUCGGAAUUACUGGGCGUAAAGCGCACGCAGGCGGUUUGUUAAGUCAGAUGUGAAAUCCCCGCGCUUAACGUGGGAACUGCAUUUGAAACUGGCAAGCUAGAGUCUUGUAGAGGGGGGUAGAAUUCCAGGUGUAGCGGUGAAAUGCGUAGAGAUCUGGAGGAAUACCGGUGGCGAAGGCGGCCCCCUGGACAAAGACUGACGCUCAGGUGCGAAAGCGUGGGGAGCAAACA